Molecule: ribosomal RNA, 384 nt
Filed under: uncultured prokaryote
Description: bacterial SSU rRNA
Rfam family: Archaeal small subunit ribosomal RNA
Source: RNAcentral
GCGAAACCUCCGCAAUGCGAGCAAUCGCGACGGGGGGACCCCAAGUGCCACUCUUAACGGGGUGGCUUUUCUUAAGUGUAAAAAGCUUUUGGAAUAAGGGCUGGGCAAGACCGGUGCCAGCCGCCGCGGUAACACCGGCAGCCCGAGUGGUGGCCAUUUUUAUUGGGCCUAAAGCGUUCGUAGCCGGCCUGAUAAGUCUCUGGUGAAAUCCCACAGCUUAACUGUGGGAAUUGCUGGAGAUACUAUCAGGCUUGAGGUCGGGAGAGGUUAGAGGUACUCCCAGGGUAGGGGUGAAAUACUAGAAUCCUGGGAGGACCAACUUUGGCAAAGGCGUCUAACUGGAACGAAAGUGACGGUGAGGAACGAAAGCCAGGGGCGCGAACC